GGCAGAGCCCGGCCCCAGCUGGUUCUCUCUGGGGAGCAGAGCUCUCGGGGUCCCCUGCACCAUGGCCUGGCCUCUCGUCUGCCUCCUCCUGCUCACCUGCUGCUCAGGUUCCUUCUCCCAGCCUGUGCUGACUCAGGCUCCCUCCAUGUCUGUGUCCCUGGGAGCCACGGCCAGACUCACCUGCACCCUCAGCAGUCAGCACAGCAACUUCUAUAUUCAUUGGUACCAGCAGAGCCCAGGAAAAGCCCCCAGAUUUGUCAUGAAAGUGAACAGUGAUGGAAGUGUGAGCAAGGGCGAGGGGGUCCCCGACCGCUUCUCGGGCUCCAGCUCUGGGACCAAUCGCUACUUGUCCAUCAGUAACAUCCAGCCCGAGGACGAGACCGAUUAUUACUGUGGGGCAAAUUAUAAGAGUGGUGAUAACUAUGGUUACCACAGUGCUACAUUCAGCGGGGAAGUGGGACAAAAACCCCCCUGCCAGCCCAGCCCCCGCCCCACAGCUGGCCCAGACUUCUGGCGCAGCCCCAGCUGCUAAAGGGCCCUGAGGUUG
This is a non-coding RNA of Antechinus flavipes (yellow-footed antechinus), 547 nucleotides long. NCBI's taxonomy places the organism in Eukaryota, Metazoa, Chordata, Mammalia, Dasyuromorphia, Dasyuridae. The record is from the annotation of a RefSeq genome assembly.